RNAcentral lists this unclassified non-coding RNA (395 nucleotides) under soil metagenome. RNAcentral describes it as "partial contains 5.8S ribosomal RNA, internal transcribed spacer 2, and large subunit ribosomal RNA". The stretch from base 1 to 120 matches the Rfam family "5.8S ribosomal RNA", at positions 35 to 154 of the family's 154-position model. The record is from RNAcentral.
GAUGAAGAACGUAGCGAAAUGCGAUAAGUAAUGUGAAUUGCAGAAUUCAGUGAAUCAUCGAAUCUUUGAACGCACCUUGCGCCUUUUGGUAUUCCGAAAGGCACACCUGUUUGAGCGUCAUGAAUACCUCAAUCUCCAUCUUUUCUUCGGAUUGAUGGGUGACUUGGAUGUUGAGCCCUGCUGGUAUGCUAUAUCAGCUGGCUUUAAACUUAUUAGACGGCUCUGUACUGGAUCGGUUUGACUCGACGUGAUAAUAUUAUCGUUGAGGAUGCAUGUCUCAUGCAGCCGGAAAGUAUCAAAGCAGCUUCUAGCUUGCCUUUAGUGCACUUUUACAUUUUAGACCUCAGAUCAGGUGGGACUACCCGCUGAACUUAAGCAUAUCAAUAAGCGGAGGA